AUUGUUACCAGUGUAAAGUGGCAUUUUGCAACAUGUGGUAGCCUGUUGUUAUCUUGAUGGCUAUUUAUUGAAAUUAGGAGGAUGCCAGAUGUCUGGAUAGGAGUCUGGAACUAUCCCUUGUUUCCUGCCUUGAAAAGGAGUAGCAACCUCCCUUAGCCUGAUGAACCUGUAAAUGUCCCCUAUGUCUCUCUGCCUCCUCCUAAACUCCCUCCACCCCGUCCCCAGCAAGCCUGAGGCUCUCACCCUGAGGACUAGAAGUUAUCACGUUGGAAGAGAGUGCUGGACCCUGGGUCAGCUCUCCCACCAGGAGUAAGAUUGUGCCAUCACCCAUGGAUUUAUCUCGAAGUAGAUGCACACAUAAUCCCCCAUGAAGCACAGGGACACAUGGUGGCAGGAUGGGGAGUCACUGCUUCCCAGGCAGUCUAGGCUGGUGGACCCCUCUUCCUUUCCCUCCCCCUGUCUCAGAUAACCAAAGACAAGUGCAAGACAGCCCCUCUUUCCCGUCUACUAACAGUCCCCACUCUCUGUGGCAGAGGCAAAUACCUCCUGUACGAGAAGAAUGAGGUGAAGGCGCGAGAUCGGGAGUGGAAGAAGUAUGAAUUCCACUACGACAAUGUGCUGUGGGCUCUGCUGACCCUCUUCACCGUGUCCACGGGAGAAGGCUGGCCACAGGUCCUCAAGCACUCAGUGGAUGCCACCUUUGAGAACCAGGGCCCCAGCCCGGGGUACCGCAUGGAGAUGUCCAUUUUCUACGUUGUCUACUUUGUGGUGUUCCCCUUCUUCUUUGUCAAUAUCUUUGUGGCCUUGAUCAUCAUCACCUUCCAGGAGCAAGGGGACAAGAUGAUGGAGGAAUACAGCCUGGAGAAAAAUGAGGUGCCACUUCCAAUUCCAUCUGUCCUUUAAAAACUGGGGACACACACAAACUUUAAAACACACACACACAACACCCAGGAACCUGUUUCUAGGGGUACCUGGGGGAGGGAACAGAAGCAUCCUCCAAACAGAAUCCAGUCUUCAGGGCAGCCUUUCAUGGAGUUUCCAGAGGAAACACAUCAUAUAACGUAUGUAUCAGUCAGUUUAGACUAGGUUAUGCCGCAGUAACAAGCAAUCCCAGAUUUCAUUGCCAAAUAUCCACAAAGGGACUUAUUUUUUGCUCACACUGCAUGUCGACAUCAGUUGUGGAUCUUGCCAUCUUUAUUCUGGUUGCCAGGCUGGCAGAGCAGCAGAGCAGCCUCCCUCUGAGAUGCUCCAGAUGAAAAAGAGAGUAUAUCAGACUGAGGUUCAGCUCUUCAGGCUUGUGCUCAAAAAUGACACGUCACUUCUGCUCACAUUUCAUCAGCCAAAGCAAGUCACACAUCCAUUCUGACGUCAGUGGAGUGGGCAAAUACAAUCUCCCCUAGUGAAGGGUGGUGAAUAUUUAUGAAUGAAAAGCCAAGCCAGGUGUGGUGGCUCACACCUGUAAUCCCAACAUUUUGGAAAGCUGAGGCAGGAGGAUCACUUGAGCUCAGGAGUUUGAGACCAGCCCGGCCAACAUAGAAAGACCCCAUCUCUACUACAAAUCAAAAAAAUUAGCCAGGCAUGAUGGUGCACACCUUUAGUCCCAGUAACAUGGGAGGCUGAGGUGGGAGGACCCUUGAGCUUGGGAGUUCGAGGCUGCAGUGAGCUAUCAUCAUGCCACUGCACUCCAGCCUGGGCAACAGAGCAUGACCCUGUCUCAAAAAAAGGAAAGAAAAUCCAGUCCCCAGUCUACCAGAGAGUAUAGACAUGACUCUUUGCCUCUCUGGCAUCAUCCAAGCUAAAUAGAGGACCUAGAAUAUAUCCUAUGCUCCCUUGACCCUUAAGACUUAAUAACCACUAUUCCUCGUUCUCUCUCCCUCGAAGAGAAGGAGAAGAAGCAGCAAAGUAUUCAGUAAGAAAGAAUGGGCUGGGCGCAGUGGCUCACGCCUGUAAUCUUAACACUUUAGG
This 1965-nucleotide small RNA is filed under the name Pongo abelii (Sumatran orangutan). RNAcentral's name for it is "retained intron". The record is from RNAcentral. Lineage: Eukaryota; Metazoa; Chordata; Mammalia; Primates; Hominidae.